This 75-nucleotide transfer RNA is filed under the name Lepidosiren paradoxa (South American lungfish). RNAcentral's name for it is "tRNA-Leu". It matches the Rfam family "tRNA". Rfam says of the family: Transfer RNA (tRNA) molecules are approximately 80 nucleotides in length. Lineage: Eukaryota; Metazoa; Chordata; Ceratodontiformes; Lepidosirenidae. The record is from RNAcentral.
GCUGGAGUGGCAGAGUCAGGAAAUUGCAGAAGACCUAAGCCCUUCAUAUCAAGGGUUCAAAUCCCUUCUCCAUCU